CCAAAUUUCUACUUUAUUUUUGUCGGGAAAAUUUUUUUGAUAUCCGCUAGUUUACUUUACCUUGCUCUUAUUUUCACAUAGUUUAAUAUUGAUGGUUUCGGUAAUUAAUUAGCCAUAGAAGCACUAUAGACGGCCUACUUAGCGGGCAACCGAUGGCUCUCAUUUGUGCCCUUACGCAGAUUUUUUUUUUUUUUACCUGGGCUCUGAAUUCUUCAUGGAGUCCUGAAAUAACCAGCUGAAUCCUGAAUUGCCUAACAGAAUUCUACUUCAUUUUUGUCGAAAUUUUUUUUUUGAUAUCCGCUGCUUUACUUUAACUUGGGCUUAUUUUCACAUAGUUUAAUAUUGAUGGUUUCAAUAAUUAAUUGGCCAUGAAAGUAGAAUGGAUGGCUUGCUUAGCGGGCAAUCGGUGGGUCUCAUUUGUGUUCUUAUGUAGCUCUGUUUUUUUUUCCCCUUGAUCUUGAUUCUGAAUUCUUCAUGGAACCAUGAAUCGGCCAGCUGAGUUAUGAAUUCCCUAACUGAAUUCUACAUUACCUACCUAGAAUCUAUAUUACCUAGCUGAAUGUUGAGUUGCCUGGAUGAAUUCUGGGGGAAUUCUGAUCUGAAUUGCAUUAAGAUACUUGAUGGGCAUAGAAUGUUACUUAAUUGUGUAGGUGAGUUCUAAAUUCUUCAUGGAAUGCGGAAUUGUCUACCUGAAUUGGAACAUAUGAAAGUUUAGAAUUCCGAAUUCUGAUUUGAAUUGCAUCAGGUUGUUUCAUACAUAUAAAAAAGUUAAAAUGAGAAAAAUAUGUAUAUAUUGUUGUCUUCUUAAUAUUUAAAACAAUAUUCUUUUUACACAUUCGUUGAGAAGUAAAAAAUAGUUAUGCUUAUUGACUGAAAUUACACCUUUUGUAAAAGUGAAAGCUUUAAACUGCAUCUUUUGUAAAAGUGAAAGCUCUCGAGAAUCCAAUUGGUACUUGGCUAUUGAUUGUUCAUAUUUUAGGGUCUAAUUUAUUGUAAGGAUGGUUUUUAUGGUAGCUUAGAGACGGACGUAUAAGCUUAAUUGUUUACUGGGAAGUUUGUAAGAUAUUUUAUGAACUAAAUUCUUCGAAGUUGAUUACUGGUGGCUUAGGAUUUGCUGUUGUGCAAGGACUUUAGAUGUUGCCUCAACAUUUUAUAUAGAUUUAGGAUGCAUAUGCAGAAUUCAGGGCUCAACAUUCAGGAUUCACAAUGUGAAUUCAUAUAAAAGGUUCUUUAUAAAACGUUGCUUACUUAGAACUUAGAA
This 1261-nucleotide long non-coding RNA is filed under the name Ananas comosus (pineapple). RNAcentral's name for it is "long non-coding RNA (ACOM_LNC021387)". The record is from RNAcentral. Lineage: Eukaryota; Viridiplantae; Streptophyta; Magnoliopsida; Poales; Bromeliaceae.